This 330-nucleotide unclassified non-coding RNA is filed under the name Hevea brasiliensis (rubber tree). The record is from RNAcentral. Lineage: Eukaryota; Viridiplantae; Streptophyta; Magnoliopsida; Malpighiales; Euphorbiaceae.
AAAAAAAAAAAAAAAAAAACCAGUUCCCAAAUUCAAGAAUUUAAGCAUAUAAGACCCAAAAAACCCAACCAAGGAAAAGAAAAUUAAGUAAAUAAUACAACAGAGAUCUUAAUACUCUCAAAGGUAGAGCUGCAAUUAAGCGUGCAAAUAUAUCGGAAUGAAAAACAAAAGAAAAAUCCACAUAUUUUAAGAAGUAAAUUUGAGAUUGAAUCAGCACGAAUCACCUUAAUCGGUACAAUCUGUUACAGGUCUUUCUCAGCCAGAAAGAGGAGAAAGUGUCUAGGAAAAUCAAAAGAAGAAACAAUUGAAACGAAUGCGAAAAGAACGGAU